AUUAUUCUCUAGAUGAUUCUAGGGCUGUUAAUUUCAUCCUUGCAGGAAGUCCUAUUCUCAGAAUGGCUGCUGCUACCACCCAUUGACCGGCCAGAGGCCCCCCCCACCUCAAAACUCUCACAAGCAUGGGGGACAAGCCAGCCUGGCUCCCAGCUCUACCCAACAUGGCUCUUUGAAGCUCACUCCAGGACCUAGGAAAGAGCUCGAGGACUAGGGCACAGGCCGUCUGCACAGCACCUCCUACCUGGUUUUUACCAAUGCCUGGUGCGUGGAAGGAGGGGUCCAAGGACAAAAAGGUGCCAUUUAUGUUUUGCCUCUGGGGGAAAUAUAUUCACCUUGACUCCUCUCCAGGCAUGUGGUUUGUGUUACCUUCGCCAGAAACACAACUGGGGCCUAGUCUGCACUGUGUGUAUAGGAAACUUCACAAAGGUUUACGUAUGGAAAGCAUUUGGGGCUGUGUCAGUCUCGGCUGUGGGGACAGGUUCAGUGCAGCCGGCAGCUCUGCUCUCAUCUGCCAGACUGCAGGGAGAGGCUCUUGCAUCUUUCCACAAGGUGUUUCCAAUAAGAGGGGCACAUUUCCCUCAUUAGAAAUAAAACAAACACAGAUUGA
Molecule: long non-coding RNA, 610 nt
Organism: Callorhinus ursinus (northern fur seal)
Lineage: Eukaryota; Metazoa; Chordata; Mammalia; Carnivora; Otariidae
Source: RefSeq, a predicted model, not a curated record